CAGUAGCCGCGGGAAUACAGAGGGUGCGAGCGUUAAUCGGAUUUACUGGGCGUAAAGCGUGUGUAGGUUAUUGUUCAAGUCAGUUGUGAAAUCCCUGGGCUCAACCUGGGAACUGCUUCUGAGACUGAACGACUAGAGUACGGUAGAGGGUGGUGGAAUUUCCGGUGUAGCGGUGAAAUGCGUAGAUAUCGGAAGGAACAUCAAUGGCGAAGGCAGCCACCUGGGCCUGUACUGACACUGAGACACGAAAGCGUGGGGAUCAAACAGGAUUAGAUACCCGCGUAGUCCCUGUCUCUUAUAC
This 301-nucleotide ribosomal RNA is filed under the name uncultured bacterium. Its description in RNAcentral is "partial 16S ribosomal RNA". It matches the Rfam family "Bacterial small subunit ribosomal RNA", at positions 509 to 807 of the family's 1533-position model. The record is from RNAcentral.